This is a long non-coding RNA of Bubalus bubalis (water buffalo), 1113 nucleotides long. RefSeq lists it as uncharacterized. Lineage: Eukaryota; Metazoa; Chordata; Mammalia; Artiodactyla; Bovidae. The record is from RefSeq and is a predicted model, not a curated record. The transcript has 2 exons.
UGGUCACUGUUUCUUGAGAAGACUGUCCUUUCUUCUUUGCAAGUUUUUGGCUUGAUCUUCAUGAACUAACUGGCCACACACAUGCGGGUUUUCCUGGGCCCUCUAUUCUGUUCCUGUAGUCCAUGUGUUGGUGUUUGUGCCAAUUCCUCACCGUUGUGGUUACUACAGCUCCGGGAUGUCGUUUGAAGUCAGAGAGGAAGAUGCCUCCAGGUGUGUUCUUCUUAGAGUCUUUUUGGCUGUUCAAGGUCCUUAGUUGUUGCAGGCUAAUAUUAGGAAUGUUUCUAUUUCUAUGAAAAAUGCCAUUGGCUAUUAUGUUGUGAUUGCAGUCUGUGCGUUUGCUGAUGGCUUUGGUUGGAAUGGACAGUCUGCUCAUUGUUCCAGUGCUUGAGCAUGGAAUAUGUUUCUAUUUAUUUGUGUUUUCUUCAGUUUCUUUAUCAGUGCUUUCUAGUUUUCUGACUACUGGUCUUUUAUGUCCUUGGUUAAGUUUGCUGCUCGAUGUUUUAUUCUUUUUGAUGCAAUUAUAAAUGAGAUUUUCUUAGUUUUUGUUUCUGAUUAUUAUUAGUGUAUGCAAACACCACUGAUUUUUGUAUAUUGAUUUCAAAUAAUUGAACUUUACUGAAUAUAUUCUAAAAACUUUUUGAGAAGUGAUGUGGAAAAUUUGAUUUGUAAAAUCUGUUUCUCCUGCAGUAGGUCAUCCAGAGGACCCGAGGCAUGACGGCUACUAAUAGAGUCUUCCCACAGUGCUUCUUGACAGUGUAGACUCCUGCAUGGGCAGUGAGCAUCACAACUUCCCUUGAACUUGAUCUAGGACGUCCUGGUGAGGAGCUCAGAACUAACAAGUCACCACCAAUGGGAAAGGUCAAAAGGAGAAGCCACGUGUCCAACCACCUCCCAGAAUCCUCCUCGCUGGCGUCCAUCUUGGCUGAGCAACGUGUGCACCACCAGGAAGGACCCUGAGUCAGAAUGAUUGGCCAAAGACAACCUGGAAACCAAUCUCAUCACCAUAAAACCCGAGACUGUGAGCCACGUGGCACAGCAGUCCCCUGGGAUCCCUUACUCUUCUGCUCUCCUCCCAGGAGCCCCUUCCCAAUAAAGUCUCUUGCUUUGUCAGCA